GCCCCCGUUGUGUAGCGGCCUAGCACGCCGCCCUCUCACGGCGGUAGCGCCGGUUCGAAUCCGGUCGGGGGUAC
RNAcentral lists this transfer RNA (74 nucleotides) under Cellulomonas fimi. RNAcentral describes it as "tRNA-Glu(ctc)". It matches the Rfam family "tRNA". Rfam says of the family: Transfer RNA (tRNA) molecules are approximately 80 nucleotides in length. The record is from RNAcentral. RNAcentral also lists the same sequence under 26 other names. Lineage: Bacteria; Bacillati; Actinomycetota; Actinomycetes; Micrococcales; Cellulomonadaceae.